Molecule: long non-coding RNA, 418 nt
Organism: Macaca mulatta (Rhesus monkey)
Lineage: Eukaryota; Metazoa; Chordata; Mammalia; Primates; Cercopithecidae
Source: RefSeq, a predicted model, not a curated record
ACCUCCCACAGUGUUCCUCCCACCACACGUGGGGAUUAUGGAAACUACAAUUCAAGAUGAGAUUUGGAUGGGGAUAAAGCCAAGCCAUAUCAGUGGGGUACUUUGACUUUGAUUCUGGGUGUGUGCAGUAAUGUAGUCUUCGUAUGAUUUCUUUGGCUGUAUGUCAGUGGUAUCUGUGGUUUUUUGUUUGCUUGUUUGUUUUGUUUUGUUUUUUUCAGUGGCUUGGAGUGUGUUUGUUAAUGGAGGCAGUGGUGAAGUUUUGCUGGAGACAGGGAUGCCAGAGUCAGCUCCCUGGAGGAACGAACCUGGGACAGUGAGACUUGUCUUCAGUUUCAGCCUGAGAUUCUUCUUCCAAUUCAAAGGGCUAUUGUAAGGAUCAAAUGAAAUAGUUCAAUAAAAUCUUUUUUGAAAACCACAA